UGAAUGCACUAACUGUAAGUCGCUCUGGAUAAGAGCGUCUGCUAAAUGACUAAAA
Non-coding RNA from Salmo salar (Atlantic salmon), 55 nucleotides. NCBI's taxonomy places the organism in Eukaryota, Metazoa, Chordata, Actinopteri, Salmoniformes, Salmonidae. The record is from Rfam.